AUAGAUCAGCUGAAAGAGCGCCUCAAUGGCAUUGAGGCGCUCUUUGGUUCGAGUCCGAAUCGGUCCACCA
This 70-nucleotide transfer RNA is filed under the name Chloroflexota bacterium. RNAcentral describes it as "Chloroflexi bacterium tRNA-Ala". The record is from RNAcentral. Lineage: Bacteria; Bacillati; Chloroflexota.